RNAcentral lists this ribosomal RNA (492 nucleotides) under uncultured bacterium. RNAcentral describes it as "partial 16S ribosomal RNA". It matches the Rfam family "Bacterial small subunit ribosomal RNA", at positions 29 to 507 of the family's 1533-position model. The record is from RNAcentral.
AGUGAACGCUGGCGGCAGGCUUAACACAUGCAAGUCGAACGGCAGCACAGUAAGAGCUUGCUCUUACGGGUGGCGAGUGGCGGACGGGUGAGGAAUACAUCCGAAUCUACUUUUUCGUGGGGGAUAACGUAGGGAAACUUACGCCAAUACCGCAUACGACCUACGGGUGAAAGCAGGGGACCUUCGGACCUUGCGCGAUUGAAUGAGCCGAUGUCGGAUUAGCUGGUUGGCGGGGUAAAGGCCCACCAAGGCGACGAUCCGUAGCUGGUCUGAGAGGAUGAUCAGCCACACUGGAACUGGGACACGGUCCCGACUCCUACGGGAGGCCGCAGUUGGGAAUUUUGGACAAUGGGCGCAAGCCUGACCCAGCCAUAGCGAGUGGGUGAAGGAGGCCUUCGGGUUGUAAAGCCCUUUUGUUGGGAAAAAAAAGCAUCAGGUUAAAACCCCGCUGGUCUGACGGUAACCGAAAAAUAAGCACCGGCUAACUUCGUG